RNAcentral lists this long non-coding RNA (3839 nucleotides) under Xyrichtys novacula (pearly razorfish). Lineage: Eukaryota; Metazoa; Chordata; Actinopteri; Labriformes; Labridae. The record is from RNAcentral.
CUACGCAGAUACAGACGUUUUCACCACUAAAUGGUUUUACACCGCAGACAGGACCUUCAGCAAAUCUACAGUAGACUGACACCUCCCUCGAGGAAUUAACUCACAUGUAAAAGGAUGUAAUUAGAGGAAUGGAAGAGACUGAGAUCUGCCUCAAGACUUCAUCUCGACAAGUGGAGCAUGAUUGCAUUGAGUCCAUUCAUUUUCAGCAUGUGUACUCUGUAUGUAAAGUCAUUUUUAAGACAUUAGAGCGAGAAAAAAAGCCCCUGUGUUAAACAACAAACAGAUAUAUGUCAAAGAUGUCUUUUUCAUCAUUCAAGGAGACUUUUGCCACCAGUCAAAUAGUUUAAAAUUUAUAUAUAAUCCUUAUUAAGAUACAAAAUAGUGGACAAGACCACCAGCAACACAAUCAACAAUGUUUUAUAAGGGAAUUCUGGGUAAUCUAGGAAUUAAGGACCGUCUCAGUUUUGGUGAUCCAGCGCGGUAUACAGCAGCUUCACGUAGUUUCAGUUGUCUGGCACAGUCCUACUUUGUGCUGGGCUCUGAAAACCCAGAUAAUGGUGGUUGAUGGAUGAGGGAGGACUAGUCAAGUAUUGAGGUCCUUACACACCAGCGAAUUUGCGGAGCGAAAGGCAUGGGCAUCUGUGACAUCAUCAACAACAUGACUUUUGAUUGGCCAGAGGUCUAGCAGGUCCAGAUAUCCGCCUGCGAAUCUCAGAAAAAUUUGGCACAAGAGAGAAAAAGCUUGCAUUGUCUUUAUGCUGUUUUAAAAAAGGCGAAUAAGGCGAAUAAUUCACUUGGCGAAUUCGCGCCUGGUGUGUAAGGACCUUUAGACUUUAUGAUGCUUUGAGAGGUAGUCUACGAUCUUGUCCUGGACUAACCUUGUGGAGUUCUGGUUUGAGAUUCUGCAAUUCGGGAUAGUAAGUGACCAGCAGAGGGGGGAUGGCAUGAAACUCUGCAUUAAACUCAGGAGGUCUGUUCGUACCUCAGGGGUCUCUAGCUUUCCGACAGGGAGCUACACAUUUGCAUAAAAACUGAACAUUUCUGAACACAACAGAGUUCUCAUGCAGUGACCUGCUUUAACCUUUUCCUCUGUUUCUUAUCAGCCAGUGCAGAAAUGAAGAAAUGUGAAAGAAGGAGCAGUUCACCCACCAAAAAUAGAAACAGUUUGCUGGUCAAGAGCAGCACUUGACCUGAUUAUUUGUACCAAACACGGUUUCCUCUGUUUUCCUGUAAACACUUGUGGUGCAGAAACCCUGCAGCGCAGAAACCUGACCCUGGUUUAUUUUAGACAUAAUCACAUCCAUGGCCUGGUGCUCCUGUAAAGCCCCAGGCUCUGUGCUGGCACAAAACCACCUCCCUCUGGGCUCUUUGCCAUCUUCUUAUUAUUUAAGAAACAGCACAAACACUUCAGCCGGGCAUCCAGGCAGGAGCUGUUCAAUGAGCCAGAGUCGAGUUUGUCUCUGUCAACAGAAAACAAGGGCUCGUAAAUUGUGUGUUUUUAGAGUGGUAGGGAAUAAAUUUUAGGGAAAUCAAUAAUUCUCAUAAAACUACAGAUUAGAGGGACUCCGAGGCCUUAUUAAGAGCGAAGCCCUAAAUUGGAGUAUUUGCAGAUUUAGAUUGCAUCCAGAUUGAUUUUGAGAAAGUGCGGACGACAAAAACAAAACACUUUUUCCAAAUCCAAUGAAAGCCCCAUUUGUGGCUGAUUGCUGAGGAUUAUCAACUUCACAUCAAGACCAAAACCACUGAAGCCACAAAGCUGAGCAGAAUCACUGAUGCUGCGUCUGUAGCGUUUUUCAGAUGACAACAAAAAGACGACAGAGCAGAUUUGAACUGAUUUUUGGAGGAGAGUUGAUGGAUUUUCAUUUCAUGUGCUGUCUCGUACCCGUCACCAGAAAAGAUGGGAGGUGAUAAGAUUUUAAUUAAACCAACGCCAUCAGGAUUCUGCUAAUCCUUCAUCCUUCCUCCGAUUAAAACCUGUUUGGACUUUCUGUCUUUUUCUUUCUUCAAUAACAGAAACUUUAUCCCGAGUUUCACUUCUGUCACUGCUCUGCCAAGAUGGGAAAGUCUGGCUUCAGAUUCGGCCUGUAGAGGUCAGCUGGUCGUAGAUACAGACUCUGAUUGGUCAACAGACUGAGACAAAGAUAGCAGCCCUCCAUUAGCACAGAAAUCACAGCAUUUCUCUAAGAUUUUGAGCCAGGGUACCAAGAGGAAGAUCUGUCAGUGAGGGUCCAAACCAGUUAGAACUGGUUUUGAUCUGAAACCAGUUUCAUUCCCACUGUCACUCACUUUUCUAAAGAUUAGAGGACUGUAACCACUAGCUAUUUAAUCUACUUUUUCCACGGCUUCCUGAGACUGACCAGCUCUCUGGUAUCCUCCUCCACUGUUGCCAUGCCUUAAAGUCAUUGCCAUUGUGUUGACCGAUGGUUUUUUCCUACUCAAAAUGUCAAAUUAUAAAAUAUGGCCAGAUGUUCUGGACCCUGAAUCUGACUGGAAAGUUCAGAAGUAUUACCCCCAAUCUUCACCACAUCCAGAAUGGCAGCAAUUUUCGCCAUACGCCAAUUCCUACCGGAUCCGUUUGUGAGGCGAAUUCCGUGGCCAAUUACGGACAGCAGGAAUUGCGAGAACGCACAGGAACCCGCAGAUUCACAUGCAAUCACGUGAUAACAAGUUGUCUUUAGCCACAGAGGCUAACUGUAUAAGCAGUAGAUUGUGUCCUUCCAGAGGAGGAAAUCUACUUCUAGACUUCUAGAAUCAGCAUCUCCUCAUCCAUGGUGUCAUCGGGGUGAAAUGACGUCUAAAAACCUUUCACUUGUUUGUCUCCGCCCGUUUGCAUGGUGUGAAAUAUGAUCCUCCUGAAACACGGAGUGUUUUAUUUUGAAAAAGAAGCCGGAUGUUUUAUUUUGUGUCUGUGCCCGACUUCCUUUCCAGCACGGGUUAAUCUGUGCUGAAUUUAUCCGGCAUUUAUCCGCAGAAGAACAGAAAGAAGCCAGUGGAAAAUGACACGAUAACUUCAAUGGUUAUGAUCAGCUACAAUUGGCAAAUACGGCUUUUUCGUAGCCAUUCUGGAUGUGGUGGAAAUUGAGAGUUACAUUAUUAUUGUUGUUGUUGUUGUGCUGUAAUGUUUUAUCCCUAAUUAGCGUAUUUAUUCCUGCACUUUAUUUUGGUCAAGUUGAAGUGCUUUAAAUUAAGACCGUCUUCAUUGAAAGCGUGUCCGUACUCUUUGUUUGUAGUGAAGUUAAAUUCGAUAACGUCGACGAUCCUUUGUGAAGCUGUCGUCUUCUUUGAUGUAGUUUCAGUUUUUUCCUGACAUAAAGUUUAUUGUUGCUUGAGCGUCUGUGAACAUAAUCGCUGAUCUCUGCGCCCUCUCUCUGAUGAAUCUCUCUCUGAAUGAUUGUUAAACAUCGGUAUGGUACAAAAUAGCAGCUCUUAAAAGCCUUUCUUCCCUUCUGAUAGUGAGGGACUGGCAACAAAACCGGCCAUUUAGCACUGCUGUUUUGAUGAAAAAUGUUAUGUUAUAAAAGCUCAUUGAGGCGCAGAUGAAUCACCGGCAGUGUGUUAAAAAAAAUCCUAAUGGAUUCCUCUUUUCCUUCAUUCAUCUUUUCGCCGUCCUGCUCGCUUUUAUUACGGCAUAAUUCAGUCUUUGCAGGAUGUUAUGUGACUUUGUGAAUUACAGCUCAUUUUCUCAGCCCACUUUACAAGAACGAAGAGAAUAAAACCUCAUACUUGGAUUUUUGUGGUACAUCCUGCAGUCUUGUGUUGUGUCUGUGUGUUUUUCAGAGAUUCAGGAUCAGACUGUGGAGCUCUCAUGAGUUUGGAUGUUUAACAAAUAGAGUCUAAAC